Long non-coding RNA from Scleropages formosus (Asian bonytongue), 2129 nucleotides. The record is from Ensembl. NCBI's taxonomy places the organism in Eukaryota, Metazoa, Chordata, Actinopteri, Osteoglossiformes, Osteoglossidae.
GGAAAAUAGAGACCAUGAAAGUAGCUACCAUUCUCUAGGUAGGGCAGGGGGUGUUCGCUCCAUCAGAGAGAAAAGUCCCCCUCCUCCUCACCGGCAUUUUGAAACAGGCAGACCGCUGCCCAGCCAUCACAGUCCAGAACUGAAAGCUGCCAUUCCCUUUCGAAACCCUGACCUUGGUGUGCCCUCCCAAAGGCGGAGCUUGGAGAAGCAACAAUGUGGUCCACCUCAGGACAAUUCCCUGCCUUCUGGAUGCUCAGAAUCCAAUUACAGCCAAACGUUUGACUAUCAUGGACAGAGAAGCUUAAGCCCCACACCUUUUAAGCAAGCUGAAUCCCUAAGUUCCUCCCUGCACCGGAGCUAUGAUGGUUCCUACUCCAGAGGCCCUGGUCCAUCUUACUCUUCCUCCCAUCAGCAGAGAGGACAUUUCAGUGCUUCUCAGAGACAAGGUUCUUCUUUCUCUCGCUCCUCUUCUCCAUGCCACACGCCCUCCCCUUUCAAACAAGCCGAGUUGUCGAGCUCAUCUCACAGACGGAGUUUUGACUUUUCACAGGGUUCCAGUCAAGGGUCCAGACCCCCAACACAAAACUCAUAUGGACAAGUUCUGGAUUCAGGAGGCUUCCAAAAGAAUCUUAGAACAAUUUCUCACACAAUUGGCUCCUAUUCACAAUCAGACUCCUUUGGAACUCUGAAAAGCUCCCUACGCCAAACAAGAGUGAAUGUGACCAGUGCUCGUGGGCUUAGCAGCCAUGACUCCUCCCCCUCAAGGAGAGGCUAUGAAAUGCCUAACCAGUCCCUCCUGUGCAAAACUGAUACAAAAACUUCUACAAAUAGUUAUUCUUGGGGCAGUCGUGGCUCCUCCCCCUCAAGAAGAGGAUAUGAAAGACCAAGCCAGUCUUUUUUGUGUAAAACUGACACAAAAACCUUAACUAAUAGUUAUGCUCUUAACAAGCAUUGUACCUCCCCUUCGAGGAGGGGAUAUGACAGUCCAAGCCAAUCACUGCUUCGCAAAUCUGAGACAGUUAGUUCCACCAGUACAAGAGCACACGAAGGUUGUAGUUCUUCACCCUCCAGGAGCAGUAAUGGAGCCCCAAAUCAAUCCUUUUUGCAAAACAAACACUCAAACAAAUUUUCUGGUGGCUGUGACCUUCGUAGCCCCUCCCCAACCAGGACAGUGUACAACACACCCACUCAGUCAUCAUUGUGUAGAGCUGAGUCAAAACCCCCAAGCAGUGCUCGAAGUCACGACAGCAGGAGUCCCUCUCCCUCUAGGAGAGGCUAUGGUGCACCAACUCCAUCCUCUCUUGUGAAAAGUACAGGGUAUAACAGUCGUAGUUCUUCUCCUUCCAGGAGAGCUCAUGAUAAAACCCAGUCUUUCCAGAGGAAAGCUUCAGACAGUACACCCACAUCAGACUCAGUGCUCUACAAACUAAACAAGACUUCUCAGUCAUCCCUCUCUCCAAGCUCCUGGCGGAGCUCCUCUCACUCUCUCAUUAGCCCUGUCCUUUCUCGUAGUCCUUCCCCAUCCAGGAGGCUGACCCAGGAUCACCAUCUCAACGUGUGUUCACGAAAAUCCAGGACUGUCUCCUCAGAAGCCGCCAUCAACAGGAGCAGCAGCAUUCGGCAGCGCCCAGAGGUCCGGAGCCCCUCCCCAGAGUUCCAGCCAUCCUCUCAUCAGAACCGGAGUCCAUCCCCUCAGAUGCAAAGGCACACCUCCUCCCAGAGUUCUCUGGAGUCUGAAUCUAGCCAUGUCUCUGGAGUCUCAGUACUGAACAAAGAGGAGUAUGCCCUAAUGGCUGACCUUCCAAAGGUCAAGACCAUAUAUGAGAGGGAGGGACCAGAGCAUUUUGUAAAAACUCAGAGACAAACCCCAGGGAAGGAGGAGCUCUACAAACCAGCAAGUCACUCCCAAGUAAAGGACAUCUACAGGGAGUGGCAUGGAUUAGGUGACCGAGGGAGAGGCAGUGGCAGAGAGAAUGACCAGCAGCAGCAUCAGGCAAGAGACACAGGACAGCUUUCUCGAACCCAGUCGACCAGCUCUCUCCAUACACAGAGGUCAAGCAGUCCAUCUCGAGAAGAAGCCAACCCCUGGAAGGGCCAGCUUAGAUCUCGACCUAGACACACACAGGCAC